UGGGGAAUAUUGCGCAAUGGGCGAAAGCCUGACGCAGCGACGCCGCGUGAGGGAUGAAGGUUUUCGGAUCGUAAACCUCUGUCAGAAGGGAAGAAACCGCACUGUGCUAAUCAGCAGUGCCUUGACGGUACCUUCAAAGGAAGCACCGGCUAACUCCGUGCCAGCAGCCGCGGUAAUACGGAGGGUGCAAGCGUUAAUAGGAAUUACUGGGCGUAAAGCGCACGUAGGCUGCUUUGUAAGUCAGGGGUGAAAUCCCACGGCUCAACCGUGGAACUGCCUUGGAUACUGCUUAGCUUGAAUCCGGGAGAGGGUGGCGGAAUUCCAGGUGUAGGAGUGAAAUCCGUAGAUAUCUGGAGGAACAUCAGUGGCGAAGGCGGCCACCUGGACCGGUAUUGACGCUGAGGUGCGAAAGCGUGGGGAGCAAACAGG
Molecule: ribosomal RNA, 429 nt
Filed under: Fusobacteriota bacterium
Lineage: Bacteria; Fusobacteriati; Fusobacteriota
Description: Fusobacteria bacterium partial 16S ribosomal RNA
Rfam family: Bacterial small subunit ribosomal RNA
Source: RNAcentral